Molecule: ribosomal RNA, 250 nt
Filed under: uncultured bacterium
Lineage: Bacteria
Description: partial 16S ribosomal RNA
Rfam family: Bacterial small subunit ribosomal RNA
Source: RNAcentral
GACAGAGGAUGCAAGCGUUAUCCGGAAUUAUUGGGCGUAAAGAGCUCGUAGGCGGUUUGUCGCGUCUGCUGUGAAAUCCCGAGGCUCAACCUCGGGCUUGCAGUGGGUACGGGCAGACUAGAGUGCGGUAGGGGAGAAUGGAAUUCCUGGUGUAGCGGUGGAAUGCGCAGAUAUCAGGAGGAACACCGAUGGCGAAGGCAGUUCUCUGGGCCGUAACUGACGCUGAGGAGCGAAAGCAUGGGGAGCGAAC